AGUGAACGCUGGCGGUAGGCCUAACACAUGCAAGUCGAACGGCAGCACAGUAAGAGCUUGCUCUUACGGGUGGCGAGUGGCGGACGGGUGAGGAAUACAUCGGAAUCUACUUUUUCGUGGGGGAUAACGUAGGGAAACUUACGCUAAUACCGCAUACGACCUACGGGUGAAAGCAGGGGAUCUUCGGACCUUGCGCGAUUGAAUGAGCCGAUGUCGGAUUAGCUAGUUGGCGGGGUAAAGGCCCACCAAGGCGACGAUCCGUAGCUGGUCUGAGAGGAUGAUCAGCCACACUGGAACUGAGGCACGGUCCAGACUCCUACGGGAGGCAGCAGUGGGGAAUAUUGGACAAUGGGCGCAAGCCUGAUCCAGCCAUACCGCGUGGGUGAAGAAGGCCUUCGGGUUGUAAAGCCCUUUUGUUGGGAAAGAAAAGCAGCAGGUUAAUACCCCGCUGUUCUGACGGUACCCAAAGGAUAAGCACCGGCUAACUUCGUG
Molecule: ribosomal RNA, 492 nt
Filed under: uncultured bacterium
Lineage: Bacteria
Description: partial 16S ribosomal RNA
Rfam family: Bacterial small subunit ribosomal RNA
Source: RNAcentral